AUUGUAAACUAGCCCAAUUAAGGACGGUCUCAAGCCCGUGUAAAUAGUGAGAGCAAC
This 57-nucleotide non-coding RNA is filed under the name unclassified sequences. The record is from RNAcentral.